AUUGAACGCUGGCGGCAUGCCUUACACAUGCAAGUCGAACGGUAACGCGGAGCAACCUGGCGACGAGUGGCGAACGGGUGAGUAAUAUAUCGGACCGUGCCCAGUAGUGGGGGAUAGCCCGGCGAAAGCCGGAUUAAUACCGCAUACGACCUACGGGUGAAAGCGGGGGAUCGCAAGACCUCGCGCUAUUGGAGCGGCCGAUAUCAGAUUAGGUAGUUGGUGGGGUAAAGGCCUACCAAGCCGACGAUCUGUCGCUGGUCUGAGAGGACGACCGGCCACACUGGGACUGAGACACGGCCCAGACUCCUACGGGAGGCAGCAGUGGGGAAUUUUGGACAAUGGGCGCAAGCCUGAUCCAGCCAUGCCGCGUGCGGGAAGAAGGCCUUCGGGUUGUAAACCGCUUUUGUCAGGGAAGAAAUCCUCUGAGUUAAUACCUCGGGGGGAUGACGGUACCUGAAGAAUAAGCACCGGCUAACUACGUGCCAGCCGCCGCCGUAA
This 498-nucleotide ribosomal RNA is filed under the name uncultured bacterium. RNAcentral's name for it is "partial 16S ribosomal RNA". It matches the Rfam family "Bacterial small subunit ribosomal RNA", at positions 29 to 523 of the family's 1533-position model. The record is from RNAcentral.